UACCAGAGUCCCCCGGAGACGCUCUGAGGCGCGCUGCGAAGCCUGAAGGGAGUCCUCCUCCGGCUUCGGGUCAGGCUUCCCCGACCGGCGAACCCGAGAGGCGCCAUGGGCUGGAUCACAGAAGAUCUUAUUAGACGGAAUGCUGAACACAAUGACUGUAUAAUUUUUUCCCUGGAGGAACUCUCCUUGCAUCAGCAAGAAAUAGAAAGACUAGAACAUAUUGACAAAUGGUGCCGGGAUCUAAAAAUUCUUUAUCUUCAGAAUAAUCUGAUUGGGAAAAUUGAAAAUGUUAGCAAGCUCAAGAAACUUGAAUAUUUGAAUUUGGCUUUAAACAAUAUUGAAAAAAUUGAAAAUUUGGAAGGAUGUGAAGUGCUAACAAAACUUGACUUGACCAUGAAUUUCAUUGGUGAGCUGAGCAGCAUUAAAACCCUGAAACACAACAUCCACCUGCAGGAGCUCUUUCUCAUGGGGAACCCGUGCGCUUACUUUGACGGCUACCGGGAGUUUGUGGUGGCGACUCUGCACCAGUUAAAGUGGCUGGAUGGUAAAGAAAUAGAACGUUCAGAAAGGAUUCAGGCAUUGCAGAACUAUCCAGUAACUGAACAACAAAUCAGAGAACAAGAACAAGCUUACUGCCUCAAACGAGCCAAAGAGAGAGAAGAGGCUCAGAAGAAACUUCAAGAGGAGCAUGGAAAUGUAGACAAGAGAAGUAAUCCAGGCUUUGAUGGACGAUGGUACACCGACAUCAAUACCCCACUAUCAUCUUUAGAGAACAAAGACCACUUCCAAACACCAGCUAUACAAGUAGAGGAGCAUAACAACAAGAAAUUACAUGAUGAUGAAGAGGAUCUGGAAUUCUGGAAUAAGCCCUGUUUGUUUACUCCUGAGUCUAGAUUGGAAACUCUUAGACAUGUGGAGAAACAACGGAAAGACCGAGAAAAAUUAAGUGGAAAAAAGAAGAACAUGAAGCCGCCCAGGACUCUGAUCACUGAUGAUGGGAAGGUCUUGAACGUAAAUGAGCCAAAACUUGAUUUCUCUUUGAAAGAUGACGAAAAACAUCACCUGAUCAUCCUGGACCUCACUGUCUAUAGAUACAUGGAUACCUCAUUAAUUGACGUUGAUGUGCAGCCAACUUACGUGCGAGUGAUGGUCAAAGGGAAGCCAUUUCAGCUUGUCCUUCCUGCAGAAGUCAGACCUGACAGCAGCUCUGCCAAGAGAUCCCAGACCACCGGGCACCUGGUGGUCUGCAUGCCCAAGAGUUAUUUGCGUGGACUCUCAAGCUCUUCCUUAAAAAUCGUCAAAAAUUCACUGGAGUAGGGCAGUUCAGUUCACUGUGCUGUUCUGGAAGCCCAGACUUAAUUCACUGUGGAACCGUGUGACUCUGGCCUGCAUUAGAACCACAGAGGGAUCUGGAAGCGGGUUGUGAGAGUCACCCUAAGCGUUCAUUGACAGCUGAGCUGAUAAAGAAACAGUGGUGCACAUGUUGCUGUGGGAUCACUGUCUCCUCCUGAGGUGAGCAUUUGGUGAAGAAGUUAAGCAGCUGUGUGGAAUGCCUGUGUCUCAUAUUGGAGCACCUGAUUUGAGUCCCAGCUACGUGGCUUGCAAUCCAGCUUCCUGAUUAUGUGCACCCUGGGAGUCAGCAGAUGAUGGCUCAAUGUGCACCACCUAUGUGGGGAACCUGGAUAUAGUUCCUGGCUCCUGGCUUUAGCCUGGUCCAGCCCAGGCUGUUAUGGGCGUUUGGGGAGUAAACCAGUGGAUGGACGAUGCCUUUCCACAUCUCUCUCUCUGUCUCUUUCUCUCUGCAGCUUUCAAAUAAAAUUUAAAUUAAUUGAUUAAUCAGAAUUUUUCUCAUUUAUAAACUUGUUCUGCAUCAAAACUGGGUAUAACGGAAUUUGUCCUUUCUUUUGUGAUUCCUCCUGCCAGAUUAACUGGAAUAUACCUGCGCAGUUACCUGGCUACGUUAUCAAAACAGGGGCAAGAAAGCCCAGUAUGUGCAGGAAGUUGCUUUCUUCAAUGCUGUAGAUCUCUUUUCAAACCAUGGGCCUCCUCUCUGUACCUUGUCUGGCUUCUCUUUAGACCAGCCGGGCUGUCUUUUCUUCUGGGUGUCCUCAAAGUCAAAUGAACAAAUGUCACUUUUAAAAGAAUAUUUACUGGCUGGCACCACAGCUCAAUAGGCUAAUCCUCCACCUGUGGCGCCGGCACCCCGGGUUCUAGUCCCUGGUUGGGGCGCCGGAUUCUGUCCCGGUUGCCCCUCUUCCAGGCCAGCUCUCUGCUAUGGCCCGGGAGUGCAGUGGAGGAUGGCCCAAGUCCUUGGGUCCUGUACCCACAUGGGAGACCAGGAGAAGUACCUGGCUCCUGGCUUCGGAUCAGUGUGAUGCACCAGCCACAGUGCGCUGGCCGCGGCGGCCAUUGGAGGGUGAACCAACGGCAAAAGGAAGACCUUUCUCUCUGUCUCUCUCUCUCUCACUGUCCACUCUGCCUGUCCAAAAAAAAAAAAGAUAUUUACUGCUUUCAAAUAAGUAAAUGCUUGUCAGAAAAAUAUCGCAGGUGGGCACUGUGGUGCCGCGGGUUAUUGGGAUGUCCACAUUGCGUGUCAGAGUGCUGGUUCAAGUCCUAGCUCCUCUGUUUCCCAUCCAGCUUCCUGCUCAUGUGCAGAUAAUGGCCCAAGUAGUUGCAUUUCUGCCACCCACGUGGGAAACUUGGAUGCUGUUCCUGACACCAGGCUUCAGCCUGACCUAGUCCUGGCUGCUGUGGGCAUUUGGGGAGUGAACCAGCAGAUGUGAGACCUCUCUCUUACUUUCACUCUAUCUCUCUGUCUUUCAAAUUAAUGAAUAAAUCAUACGCAUACAAAGAAUGAAAAUGUCAGAGAUGCCAGAUGAAGGCCAGGCCCCAGGUUUGUGAGAUCCAGUCAGGACCUCCUGGACAGCCAGCCCUGAUCCAAGAAAGGAAGGCACUGGGAGCUCCCAGGCCCUGCACUGCCAGCUGAGGUUCCCAGGGCUGAAGGCAGAGGGCUCCCUGGCUGCAGGCAGGGCAGGAGAGGCCCACAGUAAUGGCAGGGUCCUGUGGGCUCCAGAUCCAGCAGGUGCAUCUUCAACUUAAUUCCCUUCUUCACCCCUUUGACCCUGUAUAGGGCUUAUGUAAGGAGAUCAAAGAGGUGAGAACCCAGACUGGCUCUCUGCCGGUAAAGCAGUACCCUAGACUGACUGGGAACACAAAUGCUGUUCUUGUGUGACUGAUUCAUAGUUUCUGCAGAAUUGCAAAGUCCCCAUCUAAAGUGGGCUGUCUCCCCUUUGCCUAUUGGCCAGUCAGGGUGGAAGGCAAGGACAUUCUUCCAUCUGCUGGCAAAUGAGUAGGAAAAGCGGGGACCAGACACCGUUCUAGGUUGCCGAGAGCUGCUGUUGGCAGCAGUGAUUACUCGAAUAUUUGUCCCCUGUCUGCUAUCUCUGCCCACUCCCUUGGAGGCUGGGACCCAGGCCAGUAUCCCCGUCUACCUGGACCCUGACGUGGGGCACCAGCAGGAGAGGCAGCCUUGCUUUUUGGAAAUUCUAGGGCCCUGAUUCCUAGGGUUUUCUCCUAAGCCGGAGGCUAGAGUAGCACGGACAAGUCCGACUGGAUAUUUGUCUGCUCGUGCAAGAUCUAAGGUGAACACCACCUCCGUCAGCAGCAGAAGCCACAGGUCACUGGGCCUCACCCUGCAGAGGGGCCAGGGGGCUUCACCUCAGUGUAAAACCUUCUUCAGUGCUCUCGUACCUUUUCCCAUGGCAGUGCUGAUGGGGCAGUCCAGGCUCCGGCUUUGUUUAUUAUUUACUUCAUUUGCAUGUGGCUUUUCUUGCCCUUGGUCCAGUUCCCAGGGCCCAGUUGCCAGGGCAACAAAGAGCGGCAUUGGAGAAAUAUCUGGAGCUCUGGCUUUGAGCUUGCACUCAGUUGAUGAGCUCAACACAGAUGCCAUGUUGCGUCUGCUCCUCCCCUGCUGCCCGCAUCCUCCUCCUCUCCCCUUCCCUCCCGCAAAGGGUCCCACAGCUUCUCCAUGUUGUGCUGACAGGCUCUGUGCCUCCCCAGCUUGCUCAUCUGGUCCUCUGAUUCUAGCCUUGACCUCUUCCUCUCUGCCUGAGAUCCCCUUCUCAUUAACACUCCCACUCCUCCGUGGUGUUAGAUCUUCCUGUGUCACUGGGAUACAUCAGAUGUGCUGUGGGUUGACUGUGGCCACCGAAAUCCAGGUGUUGAAACCUUUUUGUACAAUUUUAUUUAUUCUUUUAUUGGGGGUGGAGAGUGAGAGAGAGAGCUCACAUCCACUGGUUCACUUCCAGAAUGCCCACAGUUGACCCUGCCAAGGCCUAGAGCCAGAAACUCCAUCCAGGUUUCCUAGAAUGGGUGGCAGGAAUCCAAUUACUUGAGCCAUCACCACUGCCUACCGGGAUCUAUGUUAGCAAAAUGAUAGAGUCAGGAGCUGGAGCCAAACGCCCAUUCAUGGGACCCUAAUUCCUUAAUGGCAGGGUUGGAAUGUAGGCUCCCCUCUCUCCUUCCAACUUUUGGCAUCAGGCCCUGGCCCAGUGCAGCUGCCUGACCUUGCACUUCCAGCCUGUAGAACUGUAAGCCAGAAUAAACCUCUUCCCUUUAUGGAUUCCCCAGCAUCAGGGAUUCUGUUAGAGUGACAGAAAACAGAGAGCAGACCAGGUGCUUAUCAUGGGAGUCCUUUCCAACCUGCGCCCAGCCCCCACGGGGUCUUCCUCCUGGUCCCUCGUCUUGGGUGAGGCCGCUAUGCCCCAGCUCCCUCCCAGGCGUCGUCUUCCUCCGAGGAAGGCAUCCCUUUCUCCUGGCCUUGUUUAUUCCCACAAGGUCCUUACAGAAGUGGAGCCUGCACAUUAGUGAGGGUUUUCAGCCUCAUCCCAUGUCAGGAGAAGACAAGACUAACUCCUGCCACAAGGAAAAAAUAUUUUCAUAGCCACUGGACCUUUUACUCUGGAAUGAUGAAAACUAUUUUUAGGAGGAGACAAACGAGAUUUCGCCUCCCUUGUCCUCCCCACGUCUCUCAUGAGAUCACCUCCAAAAGAAAUUCCCAAACCUUCCUAUGUCGCUGAAGAGGAGGGGCAGAGUCGUGAGAUGUGACGCAUGACCCAGCACGGUAGGGCUUGUUUAUCUUCCCAGGUGGUUUGAAGGAGAAGGGAUGCCUCCCAUGAGAAGGAGCCACAGAAUGGAAGCUCGUGGGAACAGGGAUGCCAGCCCCCUCCCCGCCCCGAGAGUUCCCUAAAGAUAAUCAGUACAGGGCAAGCAGCUGCUCUUGAGGGGAAGAGAAGAGCAAGGGAGAGGUGGCAAGACCAGGAGGAUGAGGACAGUAAACGCGGGAGCAGAGCCCGACUGGGCCUCACUGCUCAGAGGAGUUAGAACAUCUCUGCCCUCAGGUAGGGCUGGCAUGAGGGGAAGAAGGACAAACGUGGUUGCUUCCCAUUGUCUUAGCAAUCGUGUGAGGUGUGGAAAGCCCACGCUGGCAGAAUGCACACAGCAGAUGACAACCUUGGCUUGCCUCUCUUGCCCCCGACUUGGAACCCACCUGCACACCCUCCUGGUUCUGUCUCAAAAUACACGCAGAGCUGACCGCUGCUUGCUACCUGCUCCUUAACCACCCACAUCCAGCCACUGCCCUCCCUGUCCUGGGUGACUAAGGCAGCGGCCCUGUGAGUCUCCCUGCUUGUGCUCCGGCCUGCUGUGGUGGGUCCCCGUGCUGCAGCCUAGCGGGCUUGAGGCCCACGUAGACCAUGUCUAUAUCCUUCUCUGCCUGGGGAUCACCGACAGCUUCCCACGGCACCCAGGACGCAAACCAGCAUUUUCCCCAGCGUGUCCAAGGCCUCUCACAGGCAUCUCCGCCAGCUUGUCAUCCUCUCCCUUGCUGUCUCCAUGUCGCCUUCCUGUCUCCUUUGCUGCUACUGUGCAGGCCAUACUUGCCCCUUGGUGCCUUUGCACUUGCUGCUAAUUCUAAAAAAAAAAAAAAAAAACCUCCACCCCCAGCUCCCUGAAUGACUUGUUCUAGCUCUGUUAGGUCUGUCCUCAAAUCUCACUUGCUUAAUAAGGUGUUCCCUGACACCCUGAUUAAUAUGCAGCCUCCACCUUCCAGCCCACCAGGGCCUCUUUGCUGUCUCAUCCUUCUUCAUAGCAUGAAAAUGCCGUGUGUGUGUGUGUGUGUCUGUGUGUGUGUGAGACAUUCAUGUAUUUGCUGUCUACACCCCCAACAACACCUACACACACAGACACAUACACAUACACACACGUACACUAGAACUUAACUUCAAGAAGACAAGUAUUUUUGUUCAUUACUGAAUCCCUAUGACCUAGAAAAUGGCCUGGCCCAUCGUGGAUGAACUGUAGAUGUUUGUUGAAUGAAUGAAUGAAUGAUAAGCAAGAAAAAGCAUGAACUUUUUCAUAUCAGUGGAGGGUGUUUCCCACUGAGACUAUCUCUAGUAAGAUUAUAAAAGUAUAUUAUUUUUCUAUCAUAAAAUAUCAUUUUCAGUUAUCAGCUGCAAUCCAUAUAUAGGAGUCUCUCAACUUUCAGUUUUUAAUAGGCUCAGUGGGUUACAUGUUUGUUUUAGGAAAGUUAAUCAGAACACAGUUAAGAAAUAAUCAAAUCGGGGCCAAUACUGUGGCGCAGCGAGUUAGCACCCUGGCCUGAAGCACUGGCAUCCCAUAUGGACACGGGUUCAAGCUCCGGCUUUUCCACUUCUGAUCCAGCUCACUGCUAUGGCCUGGGAAAGCAGUGGAAGAUGGCCCAAGUCCUUGGGCCCCUGCACCCACAUGGGAAGACCCUGAAGAAGCUCCUGGCUCCUGGCUUUGGAUCAGCACAGCUCUGGCUGUUGCGGCCAACUGGGGAGUGAACCAUCAGAUGGAAGACCUCUCUCUCUCUCUCUCUCUCUCUCUGCCUCUCCUCUCUCUGUGUAACUCUGACUUUCAAAUAAAUAAAUAAAUCUUAAAAAAAGAAAUAAUGAAAUCUGGAAUUAAAAUAUCAACUAUAAAUAUAUAAACUUUGUACUUCCAGGUCUCCUGGAGGGACUUGGGCCAUCUUCUACUGCUUUCCCAGGCCAUAACAGAGAGCUGGAUCAGAAAUGGAGCAUCUGGGACUUGAACCAGCACCCAUAUGGGAAGCUGUCACAGCAGGUGGUAGCUUUACCCACUAUGCUACAGCAUAGGCCCCUGUUAGUUCACUCCUAAAUGCCUACAACAGCCGGGACUGGGCCAAGCCAAAGCCAGGAGCUUGGAAUUUAAUCUAGGUCUUGUGAGUUGGUGGCAGGGACCCAAGUACUUGAGUCAUCAUCUGCAUUGGCAGGAAGGUGCUCAUUAAAGCAGGAAGCUGAAACCAAAGUGGGUCUGCCAGGAUUCCAAACCAGGCAUUCUGAUAUGGGAUGAGAGCAUACCAAGAAGCAACAGCUACACCAUAUAUGCACCCCUCAAAUUGAUUUUUGAGUGUGAUGUGAAGAAGUUGUUAACAUUCAUUGUUUUCCAGUUGAAUAGGUGGUUGGAGCACCAAAGGAUCCUACUUUCCCCACUGAACUACUUUGACACCUUUGUCAAAAUGCAGUGGCUUUAUAAGGAUGAGUCUAUUUUAGAUUUCGUUUUGUUCCGUUGAUCUGUUUGUCCUUAUGCCAAUACCACACUCUGUUGGGUUAUCAUAGCUUUAUAAUAUAGCUUGAAGGUUGCAAUUCCUCCAUCAUUUUUACAUGCUCAUUGUAGAUAUUCUUUGUAUUUUCAUACAACUGUAAGAAUCAACUUACUGGUUUCCAUACACAAAUCUUAUUGGGAUGACAGCUAGGAUUAUGUUGAAUUUAUAGAUCAUCAUGGAGAUAACCAACAUUCUAAUAUUAUUGUUUCCCAAUAUAUGGGUUAUUGAGUUUCUCUCCAUUAGGUGGUUUAAAAUUUACCUCCUUCAAGAGGAUACAUAGAGCCAACUCAUCUCCAGUGCAGAGUCCAAAACCUAGCUCAUGUGAAACUGUCAUCAGCUGUUGUAUACAUAUCUGUGUAGUUUGCAGACAAACAAAAGCCCAAAGAACAGCCUAACUGACAGCUUCAAUGAGAGGGUUCUUAGAAUCAGCUUGAUGGCCAUUAUGCAUAGUUAGACCAUUUCCCAACAGGAUUGUAUGAGUAUUUUCAGAGUGGGAUUGGGUGGGGUAUAGAACGUUGACUAUAAUUAUCUAAACAGAAAGAAAAAUGUAUUUUGUAUCUAGUGAAGAAAGAAAUACUUCUUCCAAAAGCUAUCACUUCAUUGAAUUUAGGAAUUUUAUUAAUAUCAUGCACCUUGUCCAAGGAAACUAAGGGUGUGUGCUUGGGAUAGCACUUUUGAGCUGAGCUGAGUACCUAUAUCACCAAGGGUUAAAAGCACUGCCAAGAGCCCCAUUGCCUCUUGUGAAAAAUCCAAGGACCUUCAGCUAAACUCCCCAAGACUGGACAUUUCCCCACUUCUGCCUUAGUUCCAGCUACUGUCUGCCUAAUAUUCUGUGCUAGUAUAAGUGCUCAUUUAGUUUCCUUUCUUUGUUCAUGCCUUUUGUUCUCCCUAGACUUUUCCUCAUACCCAACAUGACCUCUGUCUUCAGGGAAAUUCCUGCAGUAACUUAAUUAUUUAAUUGUUAUUUGAGAGACAGAGAGACAGAGUUUCCCAUUCAUUGGUUCCUUCCCAAAAGCCCACAGCAGGCAAAAGGCUGGGUCAGGUCAAACCCAAGAGCUGAGAAUGCAGUCGGGGUCUCCCAAGCGGUUGGGUGGGAACCAAAUGACUUGAGCCAUCACCUGCUGCCUCCCAAGGUGCAAAACAGCAAGAAGCAGAAAUACGGAGCAGAGCUGGAGCUCAGAGCCAGGCACUCUGACAUGGGAUGUCCACGUUCCAAGUGGUGUCUUAACCAUUAGGCCAGGCACACAUCUCCUACUGUUUUCUUUCUUUUUUAAAAAGAUUUAUUUAUUUAUUUAUUUAUUUAUGUGAAAGUAGACUUAGAGAAAGAAAGGGAAAGACAGAGAGAAAGAGAUCUUCCAUCCAUUGGUUCACUCCCCAGGUGGCUGCAAUGGCCAGGGCUGGGCCAGCCUGAAGCCAGAAGCCAGGAGUUUCUUCUAGUCUCCCAUGUGGGUGACAGGGGCGUAACCACUUAGGCCAUUCUCCACUGCCAUUCCCAUGCCAUUAGUAGGUAGCUGAUUUGAAGUAGAGCAGCCAGGACUUGAAGCCCAUAAGGGAUGCUAGCUUAGUAGGUGGUAGCUUUACCCAUCAUACCACAACGCCAGCCCCAAAGAGCAAAGACAUGGAAUCAACCCAGUCCAUCAACUGAAGACUGGAUAAAGAAAUUAUAGGAUAUGUACACCAUGGAAUACUACACAGUGGUUAAAAAAUGAAAUCUGGUCAUUUGUAAAAAAAAAAUGCAUGAAUCUGGGAAACAUAAUACUUAGUGAAAUAAGCCUGUUCCAAAGGAACAAAUACCAUAUGAUCUGCCUGACCUGUGAUAACUAAUAGAACACCUAAAAGGCAAUAUGUAGAAGUGAAAUUAACAUUUUGAGAAGCAAUGACUUUGAACAGCCCUUGUCUUGACUGAGGAACACUUUUUUUCAUACUAUUUGUUGAACUCUUUACUUAACAUAAAGUUAAUCAUAUGUGUAUAAAGUUAAUUGAAAAAUGGAUCUUAGUGAAAAAUAAGAGUAUAAAUAAGAAAGGGAGGAGGAUCACCAUGAUCCUAAAGUUGUAAUUGUGAAGUGUAUGAAGUUUGUAACUGUAAAGCUGAAUAGUUCUACAUACAUUCCUACAGACUUACUUCUAAGGAUACAGUUUAAAAAUUUGCAUGGGACCCCAAAUCUUCUUAAGCUGGAUGGUAAAACCACAUUUUAAGUGUUAAAGUGAUCAUAUGGGUAGGAUUAAGUGAUAAUAAUAAAUAGAAUUAAAAAGGAGUGAAUGCUCUAACAUGGGAAGCAGUCCAUAGAGCAGAUUCAUAGAAUGACAAUUGAUUUAAGUAGCACUCUGACCUCAGAAUCAGCCCUUAAAGCAUUCUGGUCUGGCUGAAAAGUCCACAAGAGUAUUUCAAGCAUGGAAAGCCAAGACACUGUGGCAAAAAAAUGUCCUACAUGAAGGACCUCUGUGGGUGAGACCCCAGUGGAAAGACGUGGUCAUAAAAGAUGAAUGUACUUUUCUCUGAAGGGAGGAGAGGACUUCCUUUUUGCUUAUGGCCUUGUCUAAAUUCUGAUAGAGUUUGUGGAUUAAAAAGACUUCCACAGCAUAGGCAGCUCAUGUCAAGAGCCUUGGGUGAUCACUGACAUCAUACAUAAGAGUGUUAAUUAUUAAAUUAACAACAGGAAUCACUGUGCACUAACUCCCUAUGCAGGAACUCUGUCCUCAAAGAGUUGUAUUGUGAGAGUGAAGAGUAAAACUUGUUCUCAAAGAUUUAUUUAGUUUUAGUGUAUCAAGUGUAUCUGAUGUCUCGUAAGUUUUAGUAUGCCUAAGUGUCCAACUCCAUUGCUUGUUUUUUUAGGUGUUUCCUUAAUUAAUGAUAAUACUUGGUUUUUUGAAGAUUAUUUUUUAUUUGAAAGUCAGAGUUGUACAGAGAGAGGAGAGGUGGAGAGAGAGAGAGAGAGAGAGAGAGAGAGAGAGAGGUCUUCCAUCUGAUGGUUCACUCUCCAACUGGCUGCAACAGCCAGAGCUCCGCUGAUCCAAAUCCAGGAGCUAGGAGCUUCUUCUGGGUCUUCCAAGUGGGUGCAGGGGCCCAAAGACUUGGGCCAUCUUCUUACUGCUUUUCCAGUCCAUAGCAGAGACCUGGAUCAGAAAAGGAGCAGCUGGGACUAGAACUGACACCCAUAUGGGAUGCUGGCACUUCAGGCCAGGGUAUUAACCUGCUGCACCACAGCACCAGCCCCAAUGAUAAUACUUGUUUUCAAGGACUUAUUUUCUUUUAAUGUAUUAAAUGGAGGUUUAGGUCUCAUAAGUUGUAGUUAUGCCUAAUUGCCUGCAAAAGAUGUAUCAUUCUUGGGUGCUUCUUUAAAGUUAAUUAAGUUUCUCAAAAAAAAAAAAAAGUGAAAUUCACUUCGAGAUGCGAUGACUUUGAACAGCCCUUGUCUCAGCUGUGGAGGAACAGUUUUUGUGUGUUGAACUUUUUACUUAGUAUAAAGCUGGUAUUCUGUGUAUAAAGUUAAUUGAAAAUGGAUCUUAGUGGAGAAUGGGACUGGGAAUGGGAUUGCAAGGAGGAGGAGGGGUUGGAGUGUGAGUGGGAGGCUGGGUAUGAUGGGAAGAAUCACUAUAUUCCUAAAGUUGUAUUUAUGAAAUGCAUUAAGCUUGUAUUCCUUAAAUAAAAGGUUUCCUUGGGGAAAAACAAAACAAAACAAAAAACAAAAAAACUGAUAUCUGUCCUUUCAUCCUCCAGUAAACUGCCUUUGAUCCCCACUCCUCACCCAACCCCUAUGCCUCCCUCCACUGGGCUUCCAUAGAAGUCUAUUGAUGAUAUUGCCAAUCACACUUUCCUCAAUGCAUUUUCAUUGUUUAUCUCUUCCUCAUGAGAUGAUGCGGGACAAGGAAUCUGCCAUUCCAUAUUUACCCCUAUUCCUGCAUUGGCAUAUGAUGAUCACCAGGCCUUUCUUUGAACAGAUUUAGUGGAGGUAAUAAUUGAAACUGUGAGAGAAAGUGAAAUCCAAGAGAAAGAGAAGUGUGUUGUAAUUUUCAUACCGUUAUUUAAGAAGCCAGACUAAAUUCACAGGAAAAUGUUAAAAUGUUGAGUAUUUCACAUUUUCUUUCCUGACAAGUAGUCUCUGAUUAUAUUCCACUUUCUUUGUUCACUCUUUGAAUUUACAAGUAGCAAAUACUCAUUUGAAAUGAAGUGACUGCUCAAUCGUUACUUAAAUUCACAUAAAUAUUAAAUUGAACCAUGUGAAAUCACUGUUUUAUGGGUCCAAAGCAGUCAAAUUGUGACAGUUGCUGUGAUUCAAGCUAAAGAAUGAGGAUUGAGAGCUAAGUAUCUCCCUACAUCUGUCUACGGUGCAUUUACCCAGCUCACAAAGUCUACGUUUCUUAGCAUGAGUAACUGUCAUAUUUGUAAGGCAGCCUCAUACAUUUUGUCAAAUAACUGUAAAUGGUCUCUGUACAGGGUUCUACAUUAGACAGCAGUGAGACCUAGUCUAGGCAGCUAUUUAGGCAAAGGCUGCAAAUUCAUCUGUUGUGUAGAAAAGUGAGCCCUGUCACUAACUCCAUGUUCACUCCUAACUUGUAUGACCCUUUGACAGUUAAAAUAAUGUAGCAUCAUUAAAAUGUUAAUUUGUACCUAUAUGCCCAUCCCACAAUUGAAUUUUCAAGUAGUUGAUUACAUUUCUCUCUGUGGAUUCAGGAAACCAUUCGUCUCACAUUAUCUAAUUUAUUAAACAUAGUUUGGCCCUUACAAUGUCUCCAUUCGUCAUCCUUAAACUCACUUAGCACAAAUAAAUAAGACUAUGUUUGCUGUUAAUGAACAUCACUUCCCAAGAGAAGGGGCAGCUCUGGACUACAGGCACAGUGGGAACCCAAAGCUGUCCUCUCCGUGGGCACCGUAGAUCUUAGCCAGAGAAUCUCACCUGCUGUUAAUUGGAAUGUGGUGUUCAGAUGGAUUUUCAGUGCUAAUAUCAAUGUCGGUGUUAAUGUUUUUCUUACUGCUGAUUCUCUGGUUCUCUUUAACUUUUAAACUUAAAAGCAUCUUUGCAACUGAGUGAAUUGAAAAUACCUUUUAAAAAUAAGAAACACAUUUAGAUUUCUGGUACACAGAAAAUUCCCUGUGAAGAAAAGUUCCAAAUUUGUGACGCUAUUUGCAUUUCCAUCAACACAGAGAAUCCUUAUCUGGGCUUGUUACAUGACAAAUAACAGUGUUGAAACAGGGUGUUUUAAGACUCAUUUAUGCACAUGUCUCAGUUCUUGUUAGUACGUUUACAGUGUGAGGCAAUACAAAACUUAUACAUUAGUUUCAAGAGUUUUUUUUUUUUUUUUACAAAGCUGAUACCUUAAUGAAUUUUAACUACCAUUGACCUCAUUUAAAGUAAUUAAAAUAUCAAAAAAUUUUAAAAGUUGCUAAGGUGCUACUGUGCCCCAGGAAAAAGAUUUUUCAGAUGGGGAUGAGCAUGCAAAAUAUUUAUUAAGGAGUGCCCUAGGGAUCAGCACCUGGGAAGGGAGCUAGCUGUGUGCCAGGCGUGGGGGAAAACAAGGGGAGCUGGGAGGCAGAUGAGCAAGGGCCUCAGCCAACUCCUUGUUGAGCUCUGUGGCUGAUGGUGUAGCGAGGGAGGGCAGCCUUCAGGCCUCACACAGAUCAGAGACAGGAUUGUUGGCUCCUGCGUUCUCACACUGACACUCACCUGAGAGCGCCAUGUACCAGGAAUGUCAAGGAAGGAGCGAGCAAAGAGCUUCAGAGUUGAAAAAGCCCUGUGGUCUAAGAUCUCAGCUGAGUUAAGGGCGACUGGCCAUGGCCAGUAUCCUUCCUGCAUGAAAACCAGCCCGUGAAACUCAUCAUUAGACCACCACACCUGGGGCUGGGGCUGGCUGCAGUUGGGUUCCUAUCGCUUCAGCUAGGUGAAUAGCAAUUAAAUGAGCCAAGAUUCAAUAAAAUUCAAAUGUCUCAGCUGCACCUACCACAUCCCAAACACUGAGUGGCCACAUGUGGCUGGUGGCUGUUCUGUUGGAUGGCACAAGACCCCGCCAUCAGAAAUGUGGGAAUAUUUGGAAAUCACGGAAUGAGUAGAAUUACAGAGAAUUCUGUGGGGCCACACUAUUCCACACUUACUUUGAGCCUCCCUGAGACUCUGUUAGGAGGGGCCGUUCUCCUGGCCCUAACACCGGCCACUCCUCACUCCUUGCCCCACACCCAGGGGAACUCCUUUGUAGUCUCUCCUCAGAUUUGUUUUUCUUUUCACUGUUGGCAUUACUACAGUGUAGUAAAUUGUAACUGGAAUCCAUUGCUGUUAAAAAGGGUUUCCAUUUCCUUAAGGGUAGGUCACAACAUGAACUAUUUGUAUGACAAACUUCAAAAAGUUCACGGAAAAUGGAACUCACAGUAUGAGUUUUUUGGUACAAAAAAUUGGGGGUGAAAAAAAUUUUUUUUAGAAUACGUGGAAAAUGCAUAUCAUGGAAAAAUUGUGCCAUGGACUCCAAAAAGAUUUGUACCAAAAUAAACUCAUAUUUUUAAUUGAAUUUUAAUUGAGUUUUUCCAUUUUUCCUAUUAGCUCCGUUAAAGGAAAGGAAGCAAACCAGUAGUUUCACAUUAAAAGUAGUAUAGACAUUCAUACCUACCACAUUAAUAUCCGAACCUGUAACAUCACUGGCCAGAAGAGAAAAAAAAAGAGAAAACCGUAAAAUGAUGAUAUUCCCUGUAUUCUAAAACACAGCAAAUGAAACAUGUUAGAAUUUGCCUACUCACAAACAAGCUAUGUUUGAUGAUAAAGCCGGCUCUGUUAGGUAAACCUCUUCCUUCAUUAUUCAGUUAGCUCCGCCCUGGUGACUUUAGUUGCUGGUUCUUCCAUAGCAUUCUUCUGGCUUUUGUCAUGCAAACUUAUGCCUUUUUGAAAAUGUUUCUGAACAAACUUUCAGCCUUGAAAUUUCAAGUCUUUAUAGCAUUCAUUGAAUUUUUCUUGGGAGAUUCAGCAAAAGUUUGGCCACCAUGCGAGCCAGCUGCAGUACUUAUUAUUGUGUAUUAUGUCUUCUUUUUUCCAGUCUGGUGUUCAAUGCCCAUACAGAAAAGGUGGUGCCUGUGCAGAUCUUUCUUCCUGCAUGGCUCAUAGACCCUCUGCUGAGAAAGAUCAACUGAUGUUCCUGGCCUUCCAAGCGUAGAUAGAUACAUUUGCACUUUUAGAAACCAUGGAAGUGGAAGAAGUAUUCACAGGCAGCCGACCGACAUCCAGGUCUGCGAAAACUACCCUGGACAGCAGCAGGGAGCAAACAAAGGAAAG
Non-coding RNA from Oryctolagus cuniculus (rabbit), 14895 nucleotides. Lineage: Eukaryota; Metazoa; Chordata; Mammalia; Lagomorpha; Leporidae. The record is from RefSeq and is a predicted model, not a curated record.